UAAUGCAUUUUUUGAUGUUUGCAUGAAGCUAUUGAAUUGGUAAUAUCUAUAAGUAUGAAAAAAAAGUAGUAUACUAAGGGGCGAAAUGUAGGCAAACUAUUAAGCUAUUCAUAAUCUCGCGGGGCAUUGAUAAUAAAUUACUCACAACUCUUUUUGUACGGAAUGCCCCCGCCCCGUAUUUUCAUUUAUUCUUAAUAGUAUUUAGAUCGAAUAGUUUUUCUCGUGUAUCUGUGAACAUUGCAUAGGUGCUCGGCGUUUUUUAACUCUACCAAAUUCUGUUUUUUACCUAUACAGUCGUAAAACGGAUUCCCAUGAACUUAAUUACCGUUGAACGAUGAUGGUAAAUUGAUAACCUGCAACGUCCUCGUCGUCACCACCCGUCAGUUUAAUUUUCAAAACAUUAUGAUGCAGUUGUACAAUAAUGAAUUUUGAUGUCGAAAGCUCGGUGAGUUUGACACUUUAAUUGGUAAAUUGAUCGUCAUCACUUCAAAUAAUAACUCUUUGACAUUUAGUUUACUAAAGACGUUUAAAUUUAUGUUCAAUAGGGUCAGUAAUAUUAUUUAAUAAUAACUAAACUUCAUUAGAGAGUUAAACGUGCACGCUUUUUUAUUAUCAUAGCUUGAUACUGUAUUGUUUUUUUAGUAUUUAUAUUUUAUUAUAAAGCAUAAGCAAGUUCUAAAUGAAACCAGGCUAUUAGACAUUGUAUUUUUAAAUAUCCAUACAACCUUUUAUUUACCCUGUGACUGUACAAAAUAAACAAAGAUUAUAGUUUAUAGGAGCCAGUAAACUGAUAAAAAAGUUCACUUAGUAAUGGAUAGACAUCACCUCGAUUCACAGUUGGAAGAAUGCAUGUGGCAAAUACUAAUUGAUGUUAUAUCUUAUGCAAUUUUGAUAGAUCACUCUAUGUAUAGUGAUAAUUCAGAUAUUUAAAAAUAAAAAAACCAAGAAAUCCAUUAAUUUAUUUAACAGUUACUACAUAAUACUUAAUUAUAUAAGUACUGUUUUAGCUACCAGAGUAUUAGCUAUACUUGCCUUCCUAAAACUAUACAGGAUUAUUUUGUUUGAACAACAUUUUAUCAUACCCUUGUCCUUAUUUUCAAUUUAUUAUCAAUGACAGAUUCACAAAGAGUUAUAAUAAUAGGAUUAUGAUAUUAUGUUUAUCCAUGACUUAACAAUAUAACAAAUUAUCUGACCAAUAACCUAUUAACCUAUAUUAUUUAUCUUCGCCUAUUUAUGUAGCAUAUUCAUUUUUAUUAACAUUAUUAAUAAUAAUUAUAGCAACCAACAUGGAAACUAUGGGGUGAAGAAAAAGAAAUUGAUGCAGUCUACACAAUUUAUUUAAAAAAAGUACGAUAUCAGAAUCCUACGAAAACACUAUUGUUGGUAUGUUUAUUUUUAAAUUAGUAAAUUAUUUAGUUAUUUACUUAUAAAUAAUAGUAGAAAAGAAAAAAACAAUAUUAUUCACAUACAUAUUUAUUAAUUUUAUCUUAAUAUUUGAGAAUACAUAUAAUUUAUUAUUUUAAGUAAGUAAAAUAAAUUAUAGCAUGUCUUCUUGUCUUAAAUAUGUUCAUAUUAGAUACAUUUUUCAAAUUUCAAAUCAAGUUUCCUUUUUAUUUAUUGGUUAUUCAAAUUGGCCACAGAUAAUAAUCUGGGAAACCUUAUUUUCUUAUAUUAGAUUUUGAGCGAAGUGAGUAAUAUAUUAAUUAUUAUGUGGGUUUUUUUUCUGUAUCUGUUAAUUUUUUUUUUAACCUAUAAACUUUGAAUAUUAGUGUUUUCAAAAUAAAUCCAAAAAGUUAUUUAAAAAAUAGUUGAGUAGUCUGGUAUCUCAUAGCGAUAUUUAGGUUUACACUGAUCUCCUUCUAGUAGUAUUAGGUCAGGUGUUAUCCUGUUCAUAGUGGGAGGGUGCAUAUUAUGAAAUAUAAUUUAUUGUGGUAUAUUGCCCAUUACCACAUAUGCUCUCCGCAAGGUUUAUUUUUAUGUACAGGUAUAAACUAAAUUCUUCUAUCAGUCUAUAUGUACAACUUUUCAACUUCCCUCGAAAACAUUGGAAUACCCAUCAGUAGUAUUAACAUUUUUUUUAUUUUUUUUUUUAUUUUUUAGAGUUUUUUCACCAAAACAAUAUUAGUUAUUAGGUUUUUUUUAAAACUAAACAAAAUAUUAUACAUUACUAUUCACUAUUUAAACUUGAGGCUUUUCUAUUAGUAUAAAUAUGAGCCUAAAAAUGUUAUUAUAUAUUUAUUUGUAACACAUAACUUAUGAUAUGUUAUAUUAAUUCAAUCAAUUUUUACAGCUAUGAUAAACAUGUUUUCCAUUGUAUUACUUUUUUUCCUAGAUCUGUUAUUUUAACAUUUACCGAUAUACUAUUAUAGGAGUCUGAUGAUGAACGAUCCCAUCUGGAAUGGGAAACUGUUAGAGUUAAAUUCAUUAAAGCUGGAACAAUUGAAAAAUUGGUUAAUAGUCUGGCAUCAGAUGAUGGAGAGCUAGAGUCUACUUUUGUAAAUAUAUUUCUCGCUACAUAUAGAACUUAUGCAUCAUCUCAUCAUGUACUGUCUUUAUUAAUUGAAAGGUAUAUGCAAUUAUUAUUUAUCUAAAAUAAUUUAAACCAAUAGAAG
RNAcentral lists this long non-coding RNA (2612 nucleotides) under Cinara cedri. The record is from RNAcentral. Lineage: Eukaryota; Metazoa; Arthropoda; Insecta; Hemiptera; Aphididae.